AUUGAACGCUGGCGGCGUGCUUAACACAUGCAAGUCGAGCGGCAGCGCGGGAGCAAUCCUGGCGGCGAGCGGCGAACGGGUGAGUAAUGCUUCGGAAUCUGCCCUGUAGUGGGGAAUAACCAGUCGAAAGAUUGGCUAAUACCGCAUACGAACUACGGUUGAAAGCGGGAGAUCGCAAGACCUCGCGCUAUAGGAUGAGCCGAAGUCGGAUUAGCUAGUUGGUGAGGUAACGGCUCACCAAGGCGACGAUCCGUAGCUGGUCUGAGAGGACGACCAGCCACACUGGGACUGGGACACGGCCCAGACUCCUACGGGAGGCAGCAGUGGGGAAUAUUGGACAAGGGGGGCAACCCUGAUCCAGCGACGCCGCGUGUGUGAAGAAGGCCUGCGGGUUGUAAAGCACUUUUAGUGGGGAGGAAAUGCUCGGCGCUAACACCGUCGGGAACUGACUUAACCCAAAGAAAAAGCACCGGCUAACUCUGUGCCAGCCGCCGCCGUAA
This 500-nucleotide ribosomal RNA is filed under the name uncultured bacterium. RNAcentral's name for it is "partial 16S ribosomal RNA". It matches the Rfam family "Bacterial small subunit ribosomal RNA", at positions 29 to 523 of the family's 1533-position model. The record is from RNAcentral.